RNAcentral lists this ribosomal RNA (481 nucleotides) under uncultured bacterium. RNAcentral's name for it is "partial 16S ribosomal RNA". It matches the Rfam family "Bacterial small subunit ribosomal RNA", at positions 28 to 507 of the family's 1533-position model. The record is from RNAcentral.
GAUGAACGCUAGCGGCAGGCCUAAUACAUGCAGGUCGGACGGGAUUCAGGAGCUUGCUUCUGAUGAGAGUGGCGCACGGGUGCGUAACACGUAUGUAACCUACCUUUAUCAGGGGGAUAGCCUCUCGAAAGAGAGAUUAAGCCCGCAUAAAAUCACAGCACAGCAUUGUGUAAUGAUCAAAUAUUUAUAGGAUAAAGAUGGGCAUGCGGAACAUUAGCUAGAUGGCGGGGUAACGGCCCACCAUGGCGACGAUGUUUAGGGGAUCUGAGAGGAUGGCCCCCCACACUGGUACUGAGACACGGACCAGACUCCUACGGGAGGCAGCAGUAAGGAAUAUUGGUCAAUGGGCGGAAGCCUGAACCAGCCAUGCCCGUGCAGGAAGACGGCCCUACUGGUUGUAAACUGCUUUUAUACGGGAAUAAACCCAGAUACGUGUAUCUGGCUGAAUGUACUGUAAGAAUAAGGAUCGGCUAACUCCGUG